RNAcentral lists this ribosomal RNA (253 nucleotides) under uncultured bacterium. Its description in RNAcentral is "partial 16S ribosomal RNA". It matches the Rfam family "Bacterial small subunit ribosomal RNA", at positions 524 to 776 of the family's 1533-position model. The record is from RNAcentral.
CACGUAGGGUGCGAGCGUUGUCCGGAAUUACUGGGCGUAAAGCGCGUGUAGGCGGCUAAGUAAGUCGGGCGUGAAAUCCCACGGCUCAACCGUGGAAGUGCACUCGAAACUGCAUAGCUAGAGUCCUGGAGAGGAAGGUGGAAUGCUUGGUGUAGAGGUGAAAUUCGUAGAUAUCAAGCGGAACACCGGUGGCGAAGGCGGCCUUCUGGACAGUGACUGACGCUGAGACGCGAAAGCGUGGGGAGCAAACAGG